RNAcentral lists this ribosomal RNA (226 nucleotides) under Candidatus Poribacteria bacterium. RNAcentral's name for it is "partial 23S ribosomal RNA". It matches the Rfam family "Bacterial large subunit ribosomal RNA", at positions 2701 to 2925 of the family's 2925-position model. Lineage: Bacteria; Candidatus Poribacteria. The record is from RNAcentral.
ACGUACCUCUAGUGCACCAGUUGUCACGCCAGUGGCACCGCUGGGUAGCUAUGUGCGGAAUGGAGAAACGCUGAAAGCAUAUAAGCGUGAAACCAACCUCAAGAUAAGAUAUCCCACAACGUUAAGUUGGUAAGACUCCUUCGAGAUAAGGAGGUUGAUAGGCCAGAUGUGUACACCGUGUGAACGGUUCAGCUAACUGGUACUAAUAAGUCGAGGGCUUGAUAAC